Molecule: ribosomal RNA, 451 nt
Filed under: uncultured bacterium
Lineage: Bacteria
Description: partial 16S ribosomal RNA
Rfam family: Bacterial small subunit ribosomal RNA
Source: RNAcentral
GUGGGGAAUAUUGGACAAUGGGGGGAACCCUGAUCCAGCCAUGCCGCGUGUGUGAAGAAGGCCUUUUGGUUGUAAAGCACUUUAAGCGAGGAGGAGGCUACCGAGAUUAAUACUCUUGGAUAGUGGACGUUACUCGCAGAAUAAGCACCGGCUAACUCUGUGCCAGCAGCCGCGGUAAUACAGAGGGUGCAAGCGUUAAUCGGAUUUACUGGGCGUAAAGCGCGCGUAGGUGGCCAAUUAAGUCAAAUGUGAAAUCCCCGAGCUUAACUUGGGAGUUGCAUUGGAUACUGGUUGGCUAGAGUAUGGGAGAGGAUGGUAGAAUUCCAGGUGUAGCGGUGAAAUGCGUAGAGAUCUGGAGGAAUACCGAUGGCGAAGGCAGCCAUCUGGCCUAAUACUGACACUGAGGUGCGAAAGCAUGGGGAGCAAACAGGAUUAGAAACCCGGGUAGUCC